Macaca mulatta (Rhesus monkey) is the source of this 216-nucleotide non-coding RNA. The record is from Rfam. Lineage: Eukaryota; Metazoa; Chordata; Mammalia; Primates; Cercopithecidae.
UGGCGCCCGAACAGGGACCUGGAAACGAGGGACUCCGUGAGGAAGAGGACGCCAAAGGACGGUCGACCGCUAACGAAGACAAAAGGAGUCAAACUCUUCCGAUCACCGCGGGAACCUGCCACGUCAGAAUCGAAGGUAAGUGACGCGUCCGAAAUGGGACAAGAAUUAAGCCAACAUCAAAUAUAUGUAGGACAAUUAAAAGAGGCUUUAAAGAUA